UUUCCGGUUGAUCCCGCCAGAGGUCACUGUUAUCGGUGUUCGACUAAGCCAUGCGAGUCAAAUGUUCUUCGUGAACAUGGCGUACUGCUCAGUAGCACGUGGAUAACCUGCCCUUAGGUCUGGCAUAACCCCGGGAAACUGGGGAUAAUUCCGGAUAGAUCAUCGAUGCUGGAAUGCGCUUUGAUCCAAAGCUAUUGUGCCUAAGGAUGGGUCUGCGGUCUAUCAGGUUGUAGUGGGUGUAAUGUACCUACUAGCCUACGACGGAUACGGGUUGUGGGAGCAAGAGCCCGGAGAUGGAUUCUGAGACAUGAAUCCAGGCCCUACGGGGCGCAGCAGGCGCGAAAACUUUACAAUGCGGGGAACCGCGAUAAGGGGACACCGAGUGCCAGCAUCCUAUGUUGGCUGUCCAUAUGUCUAAAUCACAUGUGUUAGCAAGGGCCGGGCAAGACCGGUGCCAGCCGCCGCGGUAACACCGGCGGCCCGAGUGGUGGCCACUAUUAUUGGGUCUAAAGGGUCCGUAGCCGGUUUGGUCAGUCUUCCGGGAAAUCUGACGGCUCAACCGUUAGGCUUUCGGGGGAUACUACCAGGCUUGGGACCGGGAGAGGUAAGAGGUACUACGGGGGUAGGAGUGAAAUCUUGUAAUCCCUGUGGGACCACCAGUGGCGAAGGCGUCUUACCAGAACGGGUCCGACGGUGAGGGACGAAAGCUGGGGGCACGAACCGGAUUAGAUACCCGGGUAGUCCCAGCUGUAAACUAUGCUCGCUAGGUGUCAGGGACGGUGCGACCGUUUCUGGUGCCGCAGGGAAGCCGUGAAGCGAGCCACCUGGGAAGUACGGUCGCAAGGCUGAAACUUAAAGGAAUUGGCGGGGGAGCACUACAACGGGUGGAGCCUGCGGUUUAAUUGGACUCAACGCCGGA
This 919-nucleotide ribosomal RNA is filed under the name uncultured bacterium. RNAcentral's name for it is "bacterial SSU rRNA". It matches the Rfam family "Archaeal small subunit ribosomal RNA", at positions 1 to 922 of the family's 1478-position model. The record is from RNAcentral.